GUGGGGAAUAUUGGACAAUGGGGGAAACCCUGAUCCAGCCAUGCCGCGUGAAUGAUGAAGGCCUUCGGGUUGUAAAGUUCUUUUGGUGGGGACGAUGAUGACGGUACCCACAGAAUAAGCUCCGGCUAACUUCGUGCCAGCAGCCGCGGUAAUACGAAGGGGGCUAGCGUUGUUCGGAAUUACUGGGCGUAAAGGGCGCGUAGGCGGCUCCGCAAGUCAGAUGUGAAAGCCCUGGGCUUAACCCGGGAACUGCGUUUGAUACUGCUGAGCUUGAAUUCGGGAGAGGUGAGUGGAAUUCCCAGUGUAGAGGUGAAAUUCGUAGAGAUUGGGAAGAACACCAGUGGCGAAGGCGGCUCACUGGACCGACAUUGACGCUGAGGCGCGAAAGCGUGGGGAGCAAACAGGAUUAGAUACCCGGGUAGUCC
RNAcentral lists this ribosomal RNA (425 nucleotides) under uncultured bacterium. RNAcentral's name for it is "partial 16S ribosomal RNA". It matches the Rfam family "Bacterial small subunit ribosomal RNA", at positions 354 to 796 of the family's 1533-position model. The record is from RNAcentral.